Molecule: long non-coding RNA, 223 nt
Filed under: Phoenix dactylifera (date palm)
Lineage: Eukaryota; Viridiplantae; Streptophyta; Magnoliopsida; Arecales; Arecaceae
Description: long non-coding RNA (PDAC_LNC012695)
Source: RNAcentral
CAUUUUCAUGAAUGUUGUCAAGUGUGACUUGAUUCCACCUGAGCUUAUUGAUUAAUUGUUGUGGUAGAUUCCUCUAUGUUUUGUUCUCCAUGCUUGAUUAUUCUGUACAUGCAUUUGAGGGAACAUUGAGAGAAAUUACGAGGGGUAGAUGAGUAAUUAAAUUGGUUCCAAAUUGUGAAAUGACUUCUUUUGUAAAUUGAUUUCAUUUUCUCUAUUUCAAAGA